CCUACGUGAGGCAGCAGUGAGGAAUAUUGGUCAAUGGGCGCGAGCCUGAACCAGCCAAGUAGCGUGAAGGAUGACUGCCCUACGGGUUGUAAACUUCUUUUAUAAAGGAAUAAAGUGAGGCACGUGUGCCUUUUUGUAUGUACUUUAUGAAUAAGGAUCGGCUAACUCCGUGCCAGCAGCCGCGGUAAUACGGAGGAUCCGAGCGUUAUCCGGAUUUAUUGGGUUUAAAGGGAGCGUAGAUGGGUUGUUAAGUCAGUUGUGAAAGUUUGCGGCUCAACCGUAAAAUUGCAAUUGAUACUGGCAGUCUUGAGUACAGUUGAGGUAGGCGGAAUUCGUGGUGUAGCGGUGAAAUGCUUAGAUAUCACGAUGAACUCCGAUUGCGAAGGCAGCUUACUAAACUGCCACUGACAUUGAUGCUCGAAAGUGUGGGUAUCAAACAGGAUUAGAUACCCUAGUAGUC
Molecule: ribosomal RNA, 460 nt
Filed under: uncultured bacterium
Lineage: Bacteria
Description: partial 16S ribosomal RNA
Rfam family: Bacterial small subunit ribosomal RNA
Source: RNAcentral